UACGUAGGUGGCAAGCGUUAUCCGGAUUUACUGGGUGUAAAGGGCGUGUAGGCGGGACUGCAAGUCAGAUGUGAAAACCACGGGCUCAACCUGUGGCCUGCAUUUGAAACUGUAGUUCUUGAGUACUGGAGAGGCAGACGGAAUUCCUAGUGUAGCGGUGAAAUGCGUAGAUAUUAGGAGGAACACCAGUGGCGAAGGCGGUCUGCUGGACAGCAACUGAUGCUGAGGCGCGAAAGCGUGGGGAGCAAACAGG
Molecule: ribosomal RNA, 253 nt
Filed under: uncultured bacterium
Lineage: Bacteria
Description: partial 16S ribosomal RNA
Rfam family: Bacterial small subunit ribosomal RNA
Source: RNAcentral